AUGCGAAACACAACAAAAACAGCAAAAGACGAAGAAUAAUUGUUGUCGUGUGCAGCCCUUACUAGUAUAUCGCAUCGGUGGAUGAACGUGAUUUAAAAGGCAUCAACGAAACAUUCGGUUCAAUGGUCAUGUUUAGCAAAACCUUGCCUAUUUAAACAGCAUGAGCAGAGGACCAUUUCCUGUAUUGGUGGAGGAGAAAACUGAUGCUCCCUCCUAUUGGGAUACAGAUGCAGAGAACUCCAUAUUCAAAAGCUGGAGCUACAGCUGCGGCAAAUUAAAAUGGAAAUUUUGAUGGCAGUGGCCUACUUGAGUUUCACAAAACUUCCACUGAGAUUGAGACCAGCAUGCAAGACCAAAGUCAAAAAACACAACAAGAUUCACAAUAUGGACUCGAAAGGAGCUGACAGGGUAGACUGAUAUAUUAAAACACAGAUGAUAACACAGAAAGAAGUUUCAACAGCGGUAGUCUUCGAUAUGUUAAAGAUACUGCUGUGGGUGUACAUGGACUUCUGAAGCAUCAGUCUGAUUUACCAGCAGAGCUGUGAAUGCAACAUCUCUAGCCAGAAAUAAUUUUCCUGAGCAGCAUGAUACCAACACACAAUAGCGGGGACAAGCGCAUUUUCAAAAAGCAAUCUUUAGUUAGAAUAACCUUAGGUUUUGAAAGGUUUAGAAUAAUUGUGGUUGGAUGGCCAUAGGUGGCAGUGACAGUCAGGGAUGGUCAGCAUACACUUAAGUGAAAGAUAAAGUCUUUCAUGCGUACUGAAAACUAACCAUGGAUACUGGAGGCUGAUAGAACCAAGCAUGGACACUGGUAAAACCAACCCUGGAUGUUGAUAGAAACAACCAUGGAUGCUGAUAGAACCUACUGUAUAAGCCGAUAUAACCAACAUUGGACAAUAUCAUAACUUACCAUGGGCAGAGAAAGAAUUGAAGAAUUGACCAAAGGCAGUAAAUAAUGCAGGAACGAGUUCAAGCAUAUUCCUCAGGAUCCCCUACAUCUCUAAAUAUCGCAAACAGCCACAUCAUAUUCCUGAGGACCUUUACAUCUCUACAAGGAGGGACACACAAACAGACACAUCAUAUUCCUGAGGACCUUUACAUAUCUACUAGGAGGGACACAUAAACAGACACAUCAUAUUCCUGAGGACCUUUACAUCUCAACAUAAAAGGUCACACAAACAGCCACAUCAUAUUCCUGAGGACCUUUACUUCUCAACAAUGAGGGACACACAAACAGCCACAUCAUAUUCCUGAGGACCUUUACAUCUCAAUAUAGAGGGACACACAAACAGACGCAUCAUAUUCCCGAGGACCUUAACAUCUCUACACGGAGGAACACACAAACAGCCACAUCAUAUUCCUGAGGGCCUUUGCUUCUCAACCUAAAGGGUAACACAAACAGCCACAUCAUAUUCCUGAGGACCUUUACAUCUCUACAAGGAAUGAUACACAAACAGCCACAUCAUAUUCCUGAGGACCUUUACAUCUCAAAAUAGAGGGACACAGAAACAGCCACAUCAUAUUCCUGAGGAUCUUUACAUCUCUACAAGGAGGGACACACAAACAGCCACAUCAUAUUCCUGAGGACCUUUACAUCUCUACAAGGAGGGACACACAAACGUCCACAUCAUACUCCUGAAAACCUUUACAUCUCAACAUAGAGGGACACAUAAACAGCCACAUCAUAUUCCUGAGGACCUUUACAUCUCAACAUAGAGGGGCACACAAACAGCCACAUCAUAUUCCUGAGGACCUUUACAUUUCAACAUAGAGGGACACACAAACAGCCACAUCAUACUCCUGAAAACCUUUACAACUCAAUAUUUAGUGACACACAAACAGCCACAUCAUAUUCCUGAGGACCUUUCAGCAAAUUGAGUUAUUGUCCUGUGUUACGUUUCUUGAUCAGAACCAUUUUUGAAAACUACAGUAUGUAAUUCAACUACACACGAUAGUUAAGCACAAUGAGAAUAAGUAGAGUGUACAAGAAACUGUUGAAGCUACUAACAGAUCGUUUGCCCUUUGUAACCAGCUGGCUCCGAUUUCGCGAAACUACUUAAGCUUUACAGGCUUAAGUAGCUUAUUUCAAAAUGUCAAAAUAUAUACUUAACUAGAUUUUGAUAAAUCAUAAAAACCUCUUCUGAUAAUCAUGAUGAUAAUUCCUUUCUCAAGUAUAAAAUCUCUUAAAGAAGUAAACAUUAUUAUUGAAAUCCAAAAAUAGUGAGCUUAGCUUAAUCCUGUUUAUAGGGACUUCAGAAGAUUCGAGAUUUCGGGGCCAGAGCAUUUCUUCAACAUUUCUAGAUCAAAUUCAGUGGAGCUUCAUUCAAUGAUAGAAUUGAAUGAGAGUAAGUACAUUAUACAAGAAGGGUAACCCUAACCCAUACAAGAACUACUAGUCAAGUUAAGCUUUUCGAAGUUAUUGCCAUGUAUGACAUUUUUCCUUGUCCAUAACUUAAAAAUACUUGUUAGAACUUAAUUAAACUACAUACAAUUGUAAAGUACAGUGAUAAUAAGUAAAGUUGACAUAACACUAUUAUACCUUAUAAAGAUGGCAUUAUUACCCUGUCCGGAACAUAACUACAUGAUGAAACAUUUUUUAAAGCACAAUGAGCGGAAAUGCAUUGUAUAAAAAGCAUAACUCUAUUUCAGCUCAGUGCAGAGCUACUGCCCUUUGUCACUUUUUUGUUCGGAAAACUUAAAUACUACUCGAUGGAAUUUAAUUAACAACUCUGUUUUAGGGAAUAUUAGAAUAAUAAGUAAUGCUACACUUGUUUCCCUAGCGCCGGUCGGUGUCUCAGUUUGUUGAAGGAUUUGCAUAAUAGCAACAAUACAUUCAAGAUCUAAGCAAGUAUAUCAUGUAUUGAUUGAAAGAAAUUAUACGUGUUCCCAACAUAACUUAAUAAUUAUUAAUGAUUAUGUUUGAUUAUACCUAUAGGAAAACAAAGCAAAUUAUGGACCUUUUUCUUUUGACUUGGACAUUCUGAUUAAGGUUUUGCAUGUAAGCACACAUAUCAGCCACUAGUUGAUGCAUUGAUUGUAUUUCGACUUUAUACAAUGAUACUCAACCGUUCAUCCCAAUCAAAUAACCAAGUUUAUUUGUGACAUUUGUACUCAACUAUACAACCUUUGAUUAGGCCAAUUUUAUAGUUCUUUUGGGUUGCUUAUGGCUUUUACCUCAAAACAAAUUGUUUUGCAUGUAAGAAAACAUAGCAUACUUGAUAAAUUGCAUUGAAACUUUAUACAAAGGUACCACACUGUCUUUCAAGUAGUGUUUGUUCCUUUUUUAUUCAAUUUCUUUCGUCUGGUUUAGGUUUUGCAUUUCAAUCUAACAUCUAAUCCAUGUAUUGUUUUGAAACCUUAUACAGUUUGCUCACUCUGGAUUGUAUAUAAUGCAAAUCUGGCAAAGUUCUUUGAGCUUAAGCUUUUGCGAUAGAGGGAUUGU
Mya arenaria is the source of this 3442-nucleotide long non-coding RNA. RefSeq lists it as uncharacterized. The transcript is spliced from 8 exons. The record is from RefSeq and is a predicted model, not a curated record. Lineage: Eukaryota; Metazoa; Mollusca; Bivalvia; Myida; Myidae.